Molecule: long non-coding RNA, 429 nt
Filed under: Vitis vinifera (wine grape)
Lineage: Eukaryota; Viridiplantae; Streptophyta; Magnoliopsida; Vitales; Vitaceae
Description: long non-coding RNA (VVIN_LNC006385)
Source: RNAcentral
ACGAGGAAUGGAUAAGAAAUAAUGCUCGAGCAAAUGAAAGGAAUAGGCGGAAUGACAGGCCUCGUAAUUUUGAUAGAUCAAGGAACUUCGAAAGAAGAAGGGAAAAUAUGCAGAACAGAGAUUUUCAAGCUCCUAUGCAAAACUCACCUCCCAACAUGGGUGGAGGGCCUCCUCCAAACAUGGGUGGAGGGCCACCUCCAAACAUGGGUGGAGGGCCGCCUCCGAACAUGGGCAUGGGUGGAGGACCACCGUCGAACAACUUUGGAGGGCCGCAGAACAACUUUCGAGGAGGGCCACCCAACAACUAUGGAGGAGCACCACCAAGCAACUAUGGAGGGGGAGCGCCACCAAGCAACUAUGGAGGGGGAACACCACCAGGCAACUAUGGAGGAGGAGCGCCACCAAGCAAUUAUGGAGGAGGAGCACCAC